RNAcentral lists this ribosomal RNA (437 nucleotides) under uncultured bacterium. RNAcentral's name for it is "partial 16S ribosomal RNA". It matches the Rfam family "Bacterial small subunit ribosomal RNA", at positions 28 to 507 of the family's 1533-position model. The record is from RNAcentral.
GAUGAACGCUGGCGGCAUGCUUGACACAUGCAAGUCGAACGGGAAGUGGUGUUUCCCGUGGCGAACGGGUGAGUAACGCGUAAGAACCUGCCCUUGGGAGGGGAACAACAACUGGAAACGGUUGCUAAUACCCCGUAGGCUGAGGAGCAAAAGGAGAAAUCCGCCCAAGGAGGGGCUCGCGUCUGAUUAGCUAGUUGGUGAGGUAAUAGCUUACCAAGGCGAUGAUCAGUAGCUGGUCCGAGAGGAUGAUCAGCCACACUGGGACUGAGACACGGCCCAGACUCCUACGGGAGGCAGCAGUGGGGAAUUUUCCGCAAUGGGCGAAAGCCUGACGGAGCAAUGCCGCGUGGAGGUGGAAGGCCUACGGGUCGUCAACUUCUUUUCUCGGAGAAGAAACAAUGACGGUAUCUGAGGAAUAAGCAUCGGCUAACUCUGUG